Molecule: ribosomal RNA, 253 nt
Filed under: uncultured bacterium
Lineage: Bacteria
Description: partial 16S ribosomal RNA
Rfam family: Bacterial small subunit ribosomal RNA
Source: RNAcentral
UACGAAGGGGGCUAGCGUUGCUCGGAAUCACUGGGCGUAAAGGGUGCGUAGGCGGGUUUUUAAGUCAGGGGUGAAAUCCUGGAGCUCAACUCCAGAACUGCCUUUGUUACUGAAGAUCUCGAGUCCGGGAGAGGUGAGUGGAACUGCGAGUGUAGAGGUGAAAUUCGUAGAUAUUCGCAAGAACACCAGUGGCGAAGGCGGCUCACUGGCCCGGUACUGACGCUGAGGCACGAAAGCGUGGGGAGCAAACAGG